This 112-nucleotide microRNA precursor is filed under the name Ovis aries (sheep). Its description in RNAcentral is "miRNA (ENSOARG00000023596.1, ENSOARG00020054847.1)". The stretch from base 8 to 92 matches the Rfam family "mir-452 microRNA precursor family". The record is from RNAcentral. Lineage: Eukaryota; Metazoa; Chordata; Mammalia; Artiodactyla; Bovidae.
UAUAAAUGCUAAGCACUUACAACUGUUUGCAGAGGAAACUGAGGCUUUGUAGCUAUAUCUCAGUCUCAUCUGCAAAGAAGUAAGUGCUUUGCCAAGCCCCGGAGAGGGUAGG